This 110-nucleotide small RNA is filed under the name Ancylostoma duodenale. RNAcentral's name for it is "SL2 RNA". It matches the Rfam family "SL2 RNA". From Rfam's summary of the family: This family represents SL2 RNA. SL2 RNA is involved in trans splicing in lower eukaryotes. The record is from Rfam by way of RNAcentral. Lineage: Eukaryota; Metazoa; Nematoda; Chromadorea; Rhabditida; Ancylostomatidae.
GGAUAGAUCCCAGUAUCACAAGGUACUACAGGGUCCUGACAUGUGCUAAGCACAGGGUCAGAUUCCUCAAAUUUUUGGAAAGCUCUUCCGGGGAUAUCCGGUGGAGCAAC